CAAUAGCGUAUAUUAAAGUUGUUGCGGUUAAAAAGCUCGUAGUUGGAUUUCUGCUGAGAACGACCGGUCCGCCCUCUGGGUGUGUAUCUGGCUCUUUCUUGGCAUCUUCUUGGUGAACGUUGCUGCACUUGACUGUGUGGAGCGCUACCCAGGACUUUUACUUUGAGGAAAUUAGAGUGUUUCAAGCAGGCAUACGCCUUGAAUACAUUAGCAUGGAAUAAUAAGAUAGGACCUCGGUUCUAUUUUGUUGGUUUCUAGAGCUGAGGUAAUGAUUAAUAGGGAUAGUUGGGGGCAUUCGUAUUUAACUGUCAGAGGUGAAAUUCUUGGAUUUGUUAAAGACGAACUACUGCGAAAGCAUUUGCCAAGGAUGUUUUCAUUG
Molecule: ribosomal RNA, 379 nt
Filed under: uncultured eukaryote
Lineage: Eukaryota
Description: partial 18S ribosomal RNA
Rfam family: Eukaryotic small subunit ribosomal RNA
Source: RNAcentral